Cinara cedri is the source of this 827-nucleotide non-coding RNA. The record is from the annotation of a GenBank genome assembly. Lineage: Eukaryota; Metazoa; Arthropoda; Insecta; Hemiptera; Aphididae.
AUAUUGUGUGUAAAUAAUAAUCGAAAACGUUUGUGAAACCUUGCGACGUACGCGGCGAUUUGAAAUUUUUCGAAAAACAAUAAGAAUUCCGAUUGUGAAAAUGUGUUUUUUACAAUAAUUCGAUAUCACGGCCGACCGCUUCGGAUUUCGGACUUUUUGAAUUCCUAAUUUUACCAACAUAAAACGUGCGGUUUUUUUUUCCAGCUCCUUCCGCGCAAAGGUUAUAGACCCCGAGGACGCUCCGCCAGAGCGACUGGCUUAUGUUCAACUAUAUAUUGUAUGUUGUAUACAUAUAGGUAUCGACAAUAUGGAAAUAACUUUGCGGUAUUUCGUCAUGACCACGAUUACCUCUUUGAUCAUAUAUAUAUACGGAUCAAAGGAAUAUAGCGUUUAUUUGUCUGCGCACGAUCAACGGACGAAUCUAUAUCGCACACGCAGAGGUUUGGACAUUUGCAUAUCACAUAUAGAGAAAAUCGGAAGCAUUUCGGAGCACGCAGGGUUUUCGAAAUGAAAUCCAUUAACCAGGGGUUCUCAACAUUUUUUGCUGAUUCAACUACUCAAGUCACCCUUAUCCACGACAAUCCAACACUACCAUUAAAAUAAUAUACAUGAUGUCAAACAAUAAAAACUUUAGAUUUAAAAAAGAAAGAAGAAUGAUCAUUUAAUAAAAAAAAAAACAACACGCAAAAAAAUAAUAAACACAUUCGAAUCAGUAGAAAUGGAUUAAAAAUAGGGAGUUUGUGGUAAGCCCGUUUAGCGUACACAAUUUUAGUAGCAGCAGCGGUAUUGUUGAAUGGUUGGAAAGAAUUAUAUUAGGUUGUUCCGGU